GAUGAACGCUGGCGGCGUGCCUAAUACAUGCAAGUCGAGCGAACAGAUGAGGAGCUUGCUCCUCUGACGUUAGCGGCGGACGGGUGAGUAACACGUGGAUAACCUACCUAUAAGACUGGGAUAACUUCGGGAAACCGGAGCUAAUACCGGAUAAUAUAUUGAACCGCAUGGUUCAAUAGUGAAAGACGGUUUUGCUGUCACUUAUAGAUGGAUCCGCGCCGCAUUAGCUAGUUGGUAAGGUAACGGCUUACCAAGGCUACGAUGCGUAGCCGACCUGAGAGGGGGCUCGCCCAAGCUGGAACGGAGAGACGGUCCAGACUCCUGCGGGAGGCACCAGUAGGAGAUCUUCAGGAAUGGGAGAAAGCGUGAAGGAUCAACGCCGCGUGAGUGAUGAAGGUCUUCGGACCGUAAAACUCUGUUAUGAGGGAGGAACAAAUGUGUAAGUAACUAUGGACGUCUUGACGGUACCUAAUAAGAAAGCCACGGCUAACUACGUG
Molecule: ribosomal RNA, 497 nt
Filed under: uncultured bacterium
Lineage: Bacteria
Description: partial 16S ribosomal RNA
Rfam family: Bacterial small subunit ribosomal RNA
Source: RNAcentral